GCAAGUUCCACAGCACCAUGCAUUAUGAUGGGCAUGUCCGCUUCGACCUUCCCCCACAAGGCUCUGUCCUGGCCCGGAACGUGUCCACCCGGUCAUGCCCGCCGCGCACCAGCCCCGCAGUGGACUUGGAGGAGGAGGAGGAGGAGAGCUCUGUGGAUGGCAAAGGGGACCGGAAGAGCACAGGCCUGAAACUCUCCAAGAAGAAAGCAAGGAGGAGACACACGGAUGACCCAAGCAAGGAAUGCUUCACUCUGAAAUUUGACCUGAAUGUGGACAUUGAGACAGAGAUCGUCCCAGCCAUGAAGAAGAAGUCACUGGGGUAGGGCUUGAUGGGGCUCAGGGUGGAAGUGGGACUGGGAGUAGGGGUGGCCCCAUGUCGCAGGCUCCGGGUCUCUGCAGGUGUGACGUGUGUGUCUGUGUGGUGGCCCGUGAGCGAGCGCAUCCCUGCGUGGGCAGACCCGUGCUGGUGUGCACGCCAGUGUGAGGGAGUGCGGCGGGGUCUGUGUACUUGUGUGUUUUAAUCAUGUAUGCAAGAGCCAGGCCUGGGUGUGGGCAGGCGUGUGACAGGUCUGCCGUGGUAUGCAGAUGCGCCUGUGUGAGCACCUCUGCGGGCAGGUGUCUGUGGACCUGCGUGUGAUCCCAUGCGGGCUUCCCUUUUCCGUUGGGAAGGUGGGGGCAGCUGGGGCUGUGGGUGGGGCGGGGGCUCAUGGGGGCGGGGCCCAAGCUGAAGCGACUGGCCGCCUGGUUCUAACACACAUGCCUCCUGUCCUGGGGGCAGGGAGGUGCUGCUGCCUGUAUUUGAAAGGAAGGGCAUUGCGCUGGGCAAAGUGGACAUCUACCUGGACCAGUCCAACACACCCCUGUCCCUCACCUUCGAGGCCUACAGGUUCGGGGGACACUACCUUCGUGUCAAAGCCCCAGCCAAGCCUGGAGAUGAGGGCAAGGUGGAGCAGGGCGUGAAGGACUCCAAGUCCCUGAGUUUGCCGAUUCUGCGGCCAGCUGGGACCGGGCCCCCCGCCCUGGAGCGUGUGGACCCCCAGAGCCGCCGGGAGAGCCUGGACAUCUUGGCCCCUGGCCGCCGCCGCAAGAACAUGUCAGAGUUCCUGGGGGAGGCGAGCAUCCCCGGGCAGGAGCCCCCCACGCCCUCCAGCUGCUCUCUGCCCAGCGGCAGCAGUGGCAGCACCAAUAGCGGCGACAGCUGGAAGAACCGGGCGGCCAGUCGCUUCAGCGGCUUUUUCAGCUCCGGCCCCAGCACCAGCGCCUUUGGCCGGGUAUGUGGCCCCAUCUGCCCAGGGUCAGGCAGCUGGCUGGCCGUGACCCCUGACCCUGACCAGGGUAUCUUUCCAGGAGGUAGACAAGAUGGAGCAGCUGGAGGGCAAGCUGCACACCUACAGCCUCUUCGGGCUGCCCAGGCUGCCCCGGGGGCUGCGCUUCGACCAUGACUCCUGGGAGGAGGAGUACGAUGAAGACGAGGCUGAGGACAAUGCCUGCCUGAGGCUGGAGGACAGCUGGCGGGAGCUCAUUGAUGGGCAUGAGAAGCUGACCCGGAGGCAGUGCCACCAGCAGGAGGCGGUGUGGGAGCUGCUGCACACGGAGGCCUCCUACAUCAGGAAACUGCGGGUGAUCAUCAACCUGUUCCUGUGCUGCCUCCUGAACCUGCAAGAGUCAGGGCUGCUGUGUGAGGUGGAGGCGGAGCGCCUGUUCAGCAACAUCCCGGAGAUCGCGCAGCUGCACCGCAGGCUGUGGGCUAGCGUGAUGGCGCCGGUGCUGGAGAAGGCGCGGCGCACGCGAGCGCUGCUGCAGCCCGGGGACUUCCUCAAAGGCUUCAAGAUGUUCGGCUCGCUCUUCAAGCCCUACAUCCGCUACUGCAUGGAGGAGGAGGGCUGCAUGGAGUACAUGCGCGGCCUGCUGCGCGACAACGACCUCUUCCGGGCCUACAUCACGUGGGCGGAGAAGCACCCACAGUGCCAGAGGCUGAAGCUGAGCGACAUGCUGGCCAAACCCCACCAGCGGCUCACCAAGUACCCGCUGCUGCUCAAGUCGGUGCUGAGGAAGACCGAGGAGCCGCGCGCCAAGGAGGCCGUCGUCGCCAUGAUCGGCUCCGUGGAGCGCUUCAUCCACCACGUGAACGCGUGCAUGCGGCAGCGGCAGGAGCGGCAGCGGCUGGCGGCCGUGGUGAGCCGCAUCGACGCCUACGAGGUGGUGGAAAGCAGCAGCGACGAAGUGGACAAGCUCCUGAAGGAAUUUCUGCACCUGGACUUGACAGCCCCCAUCCCUGGCGCCUCCCCGGAGGAGACGCGGCAGCUGCUGCUGGAGGGGAGCCUGAGGAUGAAGGAGGGGAAGGACAGCAAGAUGGAUGUGUACUGCUUCCUCUUCACGGAUCUGCUGUUGGUGACCAAAGCAGUGAAGAAGGCAGAGAGGACCAGGGUCAUCAGGCCACCCCUGCUCGUGGACAAGAUUGUGUGCCGGGAGCUACGGGACCCUGGGUCCUUCCUCCUUAUCUACCUGAAUGAGUUUCACAGUGCUGUAGGGGCCUACACGUUCCAGGCCAGCGGCCAGGCCUUGUGCCGUGGCUGGGUGGACACCAUUUACAAUGCCCAGAACCAGCUGCAACAGCUGCGUGCACAGGAGCCCCCAGGCAGUCAGCAGCCCCUGCAGAGCCUGGAAGAGGAGGAGGAUGAGCAGGAGGAGGAAGAGGAGGAGGAGGAGGAGGAGGAAGGCGAGGACAGUGGCACUUCAGCUGCCAGCUCCCCUACCAUCAUGCGGAAAAGCAGCAGCAGCCCCGACUCUCAGCACUGUGCCUCAGAUGGCUCCACAGAGACGCUGGCCAUGGUUGUGGUAGAGCCUGGGGACACGCUGUCCUCCCCCGAGUUCGACAGCGGUCCUUUCAGCUCCCAGUCUGAUGAGACCUCUCUCAGCACCACUGCCUCAUCUGCCACGCCCACCAGUGAGCUGCUGCCCCUGGGUCCGGUGGACGGCCGCUCCUGCUCCAUGGACUCUGCCUACGGCACCCUCUCCCCAACCUCCUUACAAGACUUUGUGGCCCCAGGCCCAAUGGCAGAGCUAGUGCCUCAGGCCCCAGAGUCCCCACGAGUUCCUUCCCCUCCACCCUCGCCCCGUCUCUGCCGCCGCACCCCUGUCCAGCUGUUGACCUGCCCGCCCCACCUGCUCAAGUCUAAGUCCGAGGCCAGCCUCCUCCAGCUGCUGGCAGGGGCUGGCACCCAUGGGACACCCUCUGCCCCCAGCCGCAGCCUGUCAGAGCUCUGCCUGGCUGUUCCAGCCCCAGGUAUUAGGACUCAGGGCUCCCCUCAGGAAGCUGGACCCAGCUGGGAUUGCCGAGGGGCCCCUAGCCCUGGCAGUGGUCCUGGGCUAGUCAGCUGCCUGGCCGGGGAACCUGCAGGCUCCCACAGGAAGAGGUGUGGAGACCUGCCCUCGGGGGCCUCUCCCAGGGUCCAGCCUGAGCCCCCACCAGGGGUCUCUGCCCAGCACAGGAAGCUGACCCUGGCCCAGCUCUACCGAAUCAGGACCACCCUGCUGCUUAACUCCACGCUCACUGCCUCGGAGGUUUGAGCAGAGGGAGGCCCCCAAGAGUGCCAUUGACCAAGAGACAGCAGACAGCCUGCCUCCUGGGGCGUGCCGGCACCUGCUUCAGCUACUGCCUCCUGUAUGCAUGAGCCGGAUGCUGGGCAGGAUCCCUGCCUACGCCCGGGCCCAAUUUGCGCUUUGCCGGACUGGAUGGAGUGGAGGAGGCCCAGGCCACAGUACCACCCCACCUGCCCAGGCAGCCCCUCGUCACCUACUCCCCGAAGUUACCAGCUCAGCUCGAGUCUUCAGGGCUGGGCUCCUAGGCUGCCCAUCCCACUUCUACCCUCACUGGCCUCCAGUGGGAUUCACUCCUGCCCUGCCCCCACCUUCCCAGUCCCACAGGCCACCCCUGGUUUGGGCUGGGUUCUGUAAAGUUACGUAUUUAUUGAGCUUUUGGUUCUUUUAUAAAGACUUGUCUAGACUCCACUGGGAAGAGUCCUUUGCUUUGGGGCCCAGUGACUCGGGGCACUUGAGUUCAGGGCGGCCUCCUUGUGUUCCUGUGCUCCUCCACUUGCCACGGAUGGGCCACGGAUGGAGCUUGCCAUGGGAAGCACUGGGAAGUAAUGGGGUGUGGGGUGCCACCAGACCAACACCCCCAGACUUCCCCACCUUCAGCCACCAUCAGAGCCUCUCCCCAGCUGCCCCCCGGGGAUUCAGGGCUGAAUCUGCCCAGUUCCCACACUCAGGCCAGCCCUCUUGGGAAGGUGGGUCCUCCAUGGGGGUCCCUUCAGGAACUUUUUUUUUUUUAAAUACAGAGUCUCACUCUGUCACCUAGGUUGGAGUGCAGUGGUGUGAUGUCGGCUCACUGCAACCUCUGCCUCCCGGGUUCAAACGAUUCUCCUGCCCCAGCCACUCUAGUAGCUGGAACUGCAGGUGUGCACCACCACGCCGGGCUAGUUUUUGUAUUUUAAGUAGAGACGGCAUUUCACCAUAUUGGUCAGGCUGGUCUCGAACUCCUGACCCCAAGUGUUCCGCCCGCCUCUGCCUCCCAUAGUGCUACAAUUACAGGCCUGAGCUACUGCGCUUGGCCCCUUGCGGUACUUUUGGCCCAACCUCCUCCAUGGCUGGGGACGCGGAGGCCGAGAGAGAAGUCACUUGCCCUGGCUCUACCUUGAAGUGGUUCUCAGGGUUGGGGCGAGACUCGGGGUGGGGACCGAGAUGCAGCUCUAUCCUGUGCCCCUGGUCGCAGCAGGCAGCCCAGCGCUUCGCGUGUUCUACUUGGCCUGUCCGCUGCCGCCUGAUGAGCUCAGGUCUAGGCCGAGCAGAGGGGGCACCCGGUCGGACUCGGUUGGGCUCGGGCGGCCCCGCCUCCCCCCGCCCGCCAGGCGGGCCCUUCUCGACGGCGCGGGGCGGGCCCUGCGGGCGCGGGGCUGAAGGCGGAACCACGACGGGCAGAGAGCACGGAGCCGGGAAGCCCCUGGGCGCCCGUCGGAGGGCCCAGCGCGGCGCGGAGGGCUAUGGAGCAGCGGCCGC
Molecule: small RNA, 5058 nt
Filed under: Pan troglodytes (chimpanzee)
Lineage: Eukaryota; Metazoa; Chordata; Mammalia; Primates; Hominidae
Description: retained intron
Source: RNAcentral